CCGCCGCUGGUAGUUACGCGGCAGCCCUGGCUGAUGUCGCUAAGUCGAACAACACUCUAGACUCGACCUCCGCCGACGUGGAAAAAAUCGAGAAGCUCUUUGCGGAUCCGCAAUUGUACGACUUUUUCUCCAACCCAACAAUCGACGCCGAGAAGAAGCGCCAACUGCUGGAUGAAAUUGUUAAGUCGUCGGAGCUCCAGCCCCACACUGCAAAUUUCUUGAACAUCUUGGUCGAUGCCAAGCGCAUCGACUUGGUGAAAGAUAUCGUGAAGGAAUUCGAGAUGGUGUACAAUAAAUUGACGGAUACUGAGCUUGCGGUCGUGACAUCUGUUGUGAAGUUGGAGUCACAGCACUUAGCCCAGAUAGCGAAGCAAGUGCAGAAACUCACCGGAGCUAAGAACGUGAGGAUUAAGACGGUGCUUGACCCUAGCUUGGUGGCUGGGUUCACUGUAAGAUUUGGGAUCUCGGGUUCUAAGCUGAUUGAUCUGAGUGUGAAGAAGCAGUUGGAUGAAAUUGCUGCGCAGCUUGAUCUUGUUUGAGUUUGAUGUAAAUUUUGUAAUGGGUUUUGAUAUUGGACUAAUAGCUUUUGCUGAAAUGAAAUAUUUGAUUGAUUCAGAUAUAUGAGAAGG
Molecule: unclassified non-coding RNA, 629 nt
Filed under: Hevea brasiliensis (rubber tree)
Lineage: Eukaryota; Viridiplantae; Streptophyta; Magnoliopsida; Malpighiales; Euphorbiaceae
Source: RNAcentral